Myotis daubentonii (Daubenton's bat) is the source of this 2172-nucleotide long non-coding RNA. RefSeq lists it as uncharacterized. The record is from RefSeq and is a predicted model, not a curated record. Lineage: Eukaryota; Metazoa; Chordata; Mammalia; Chiroptera; Vespertilionidae.
AAAAGAACUUACGAUAUACUAACACGAAUAAUUUAGGUAAAGAAUGUUUUUAAAGUGAUGGACAUAGAUGGAAAGAUUGUUAUUAUUGAGUUUUAGAAGUAUAAGUAAUUUGUAUUUAAGGAGGCUUAGUUGACUAUAUUUGCAGCUACAUUUAAAAAUAUUUUUUAUUUUUUAAAAAUAUAUUUUUUAUUGAUUUCAGAGAGGAAGGGAGAGGGAGAGAGAGAUAGAAACGUCAAUGAUGAGAGAGAAUCAUUGAAUGGAUGCCUCCUGCAUGCCCCAAAUUGCAGAUCGAACCUGCAACCUGGGAAUGUGCCCUGACAGGGAAUUGAACUGUGACCUCCUGGUUCAUAGGUCGACGCUUAACUAUUGAGCCGUAUGACCAGGUGCAGGUACAUUUUAAUAGCUAACAUUUAUUUAACGGUUACUUGUGUCGAGCGUAUUCUAAUAAAUCUAUAUGGUUUUAUUUUCUGUAAUCCUCAAAUUAAACUUAAAUGGUAGCAACUGUUAUUGUCCCCAUUUUACAAAUGAGGAAAUGGAGACACAAAGUUAAGUACUUAUGUCCAGGAUCACAGAAUUCUUAAAUGAUUAGAUGGGUGUUUAGAACCCAGAUAGCCUAAUCCCAAAGCAUAUGCCCUUAAUCACUACCCUCUACCACUGGUUUCAAAUUUAUUAUUCAUUUAUCUAGAACAGUAAUGGCGAACCUUUUGAUCUCGGCGUGUCAGCAUUUUGAAAAACCCUAACUUAACCCUGGUGCCAUGUCACAUACAGAAAUUUUUUGAUAUUUUCAACCAUAGUAAAACAAAGAUUUAUAUUUUUGAUAUUUAUUUUAUAUAUUUAAAUGCCAUUUAACAAAGAAAAAUCAACCAAAAAAAUGAGUUCACGUGUCACCUCUGACACACGUGUCAUAGGUUUGCCAUCACUGAUCUAGAACAUAAAAUUUUUACUUUUUUUCUGAUCUUACCAUUGGUAAAGAAACUAUAUUUGCUUGGCUUUUACUAAUAUUGUCAUAUAAUGCAUACAGUUGAUUCUAUUUGCUGCACUUAUGUUCUUGAAGUCACCCGAACAUGCUAGGUUCACACACACAUACAUAUUUGCCCAACAAUGGUUCAGUGUUUACUAAUUCAGUCUUAGGGUAACUUUAAGAACACAAGUACAGCAAAACAACUGUUGACAGUAGAGAAUCAACUAUGUGUAGGUAUAAUCAUGGACGUGCGCACACACCCACACAGACACACGCACACACACAUCUUACCUAGAUUACCAUAAAUCCUAAAAAAAAAACUUGUUCUGGUAGAUUUUAUAUUUUUUAUUUUACAAAAGAGAAAAUGAGGUUUAGAAGUAUUACUUGACUUGUCUGAAGCAACCCCAGUAACAGGUGCCAGAGUUGAAAUUCUAGUUCUGUCAACUGGCCCCAAAGCCAGAGCUUCUUGCUUCUCACUACUGCACUGUUCCCUUCCUUCUCCAUCCUCUCAUCAUCUUUAUAUUAGAGCUGAAAUCUGGCUGAGUCUCUCUUGUUCAACUUCAGCUGGUAACGAAUGCCCAGGGAAACAAGUUGUUCACCAUUCUACAUGUCUAUAAAUGACCUUAAAUGACCUCAAAAGCAUUUACCAGCAUCGAUUUUCAGAUUACAAAUAAAUUUUAGCAAGUAGAUAAAUUUGCAAAUACAAAAUCCAUGAAUAAUGAAGAUUAAUUGUAUAUGUUAAUUAUCAUAUAGUUAUGAAGAAGUUCUGUUACUGUUUUUUUUUUUUUAAAUUUGUAAAUAUUCCAGAUUAGCUUUAUGGGUUUACCCCUAUCCUUGGUCAACUGCUUUUUUACCAUCCCAAUAAGUCUUCUUGGGUCAGAGAAAACCAAUUUCUUUUUGUGGAAAAUUUUGAAACAUGCUUUCUUGUAACAGUGUACUAAUAGCAGCAUUUUGACAGUGCAAGCUACAUAUUGAAUUAGCCUUCCUGUUGUUACUAGAAACUCCGCAUUAUCCUUGUUAUAGCUACUUGUUAUUAAAUCCCUUUCAGACAUUGCCCUGAUUUCCUUAUGUUAAUCAUAAAAUAGUUUGCUGAUAAAAUUUUGUGGGACAUUAUCUAAAGAAUUCUGUUAUCUUCAGUCUUCAUAAAUAGAUAGUAAUAUUGAUUUAGCCACCUUUUUAAGGCAGUAACUUUUCACUGAUAGUCUUCACUA